RNAcentral lists this transfer RNA (87 nucleotides) under Clostridia bacterium. RNAcentral describes it as "tRNA-Leu". It matches the Rfam family "tRNA". From Rfam's summary of the family: Transfer RNA (tRNA) molecules are approximately 80 nucleotides in length. The record is from RNAcentral. Lineage: Bacteria; Bacillati; Bacillota; Clostridia.
GCCGCUGUGUUGGAAUUGGCAGACGAGGUGGACUCAAAAUCCAUUCCCGGCAACGGGGUGCGGGUUCAAGUCCCGCCAGCGGCACCA